Molecule: ribosomal RNA, 356 nt
Filed under: uncultured organism
Description: bacterial LSU rRNA
Rfam family: Bacterial large subunit ribosomal RNA
Source: RNAcentral
CUUUACUCUAGCUUGGCACUGAGUCGUACAUAUAUUUGUGCAGGAUAGGUGGGAGACUAUGAAAGAUGGACGCCAGUUCAUCUCGAGUCGUCGUUGAGAUACCACCCUUGUAUAUGUAUGCCCCUAACCCCUUUUUGGGGGACCGUGCUUGGUGGGGAGUUUAACUGGGGCGGUUGCCUCCUAAAACGUAACGGAGGCGCACAAAGGUAGGCUAGGUCCGGAUGGAAAUCGGACUGGUCGUGUAUUCGCACAAGCCUGCUUGACUGAGAGACCUACAAGUCGAUCAGAGACGAAAGUCGGUGAAAGUGAUCCGGCACCAACAUGUGGGAGUGGUGUCGCUCAACGGAUAAAAGUUA